GGCCCGCACCAGCAGCGGAGCGUGUUGCUUACUCGAUGCUACGCGAAGAACCUUACCUGGGUUUGACAUGACAGGAAAAGCCGUGGAGACAUGGUGUCCGAAAGGGUUUGUUACAGGUGGUGCAUGGCUGUCGUCAGCUCGUGUCGUGAGAUGUUGGGUUAAGUCUUGUAACGAGUGUAACCCUUAUCCUAUGUUGCCAGUGGGUAAUGUCGGGGACUUGUAGGAGACUGCCGGGGUCAACUCGGAGGAAGGUGGGGAUGACGUCAAGUCAUCAUGCCCCUUAUGCCCAGGGCUGCAAACAUGCUACAAUGGCCGGUACAGAGGGCUGCUAUCCCGCGAGGGUGAGCGAAUCCCACAAAGCCGGUCUCAGUUCGGAUUGGAGUCUGCAACUCGACUCCAUGAAGCUGGAGUUGCUAGUAAUCCCGGAUCAGCACGCCGGGGUGAAUACGUUCCCGGGCCUUGUACACACCGCCCGUCACACCACGAAAGUCGGCAACACCCGAAGCCGGUGGCCUAACCCCUUGUGGGAAGGAGCCGUCGAAGGUGGGGUCGGUGAUUGGGGUGAAGUCGUAACAAGGUAGCCG
This 584-nucleotide ribosomal RNA is filed under the name uncultured Actinomycetes bacterium. Its description in RNAcentral is "bacterial SSU rRNA". It matches the Rfam family "Bacterial small subunit ribosomal RNA", at positions 918 to 1502 of the family's 1533-position model. The record is from RNAcentral. Lineage: Bacteria; Bacillati; Actinomycetota; Actinomycetes.